This 253-nucleotide ribosomal RNA is filed under the name uncultured bacterium. RNAcentral describes it as "partial 16S ribosomal RNA". It matches the Rfam family "Bacterial small subunit ribosomal RNA", at positions 524 to 776 of the family's 1533-position model. The record is from RNAcentral.
UACGUAGGGGGCAAGCGUUGUCCGGAUUUAUUGGGCGUAAAGAGCGUGUAGGCGGUUAGGUAGGUCCGUUGUGAAAACUCGAGGCUCAACCUCGAGACGUCGGCGGAAACCAUCUGGCUAGAGUCCGGAAGAGGAGAGUGGAAUUCCUGGUGUAGCGGUGAAAUGCGCAGAUAUCAGGAGGAACACCCGUAGCGAAGGCGGCACUCUGGGCCGAUACUGACACUGAGGAGCGAAAGCGUGGGGAGCGAACAGG